GGAAUAUUGGACAAUGGGGGCAACCCUGAUCCAGCGAUGCCGCGUGGGUGAAGAAGGCCUUCGGGUUGUAAAGCCCUUUAGGCUGGGAAGAAGGUUUGUGGAGGAAAUGCUGCAAACUUGACGGUACCAGCAGAAUAAGCACCGGCAAACUCUGUGCCAGCAGCCGCGGUAAUACAGAGGGUGCGAGCGUUAAUCGGAUUUACUGGGCGUAAAGGGCGCGUAGGCGGCCAAAUGAGUGUGAUGUGAAAGCCCCGGGCUUAACCUGGGAAGUGCAUCGCAAACGAUUUGGCUGGAGUACAUGAGAGGGUGGCGGAAUUUCCGGUGUAGCGGUGAAAUGCGUAGAGAUCGGAAGGAACGUCGAUGGCGAAGGCAGCCACCUGGCAUGAUACUGACGCUGAGGCGCGAAAGCGUGGGGAGCG
RNAcentral lists this ribosomal RNA (419 nucleotides) under uncultured bacterium. RNAcentral describes it as "bacterial SSU rRNA". It matches the Rfam family "Bacterial small subunit ribosomal RNA", at positions 358 to 770 of the family's 1533-position model. The record is from RNAcentral.